AGGGUUUGAUCCUGGCUCAGAACGUACGCUGGCGGCACGCCUAACACAUGCAAGUCGAACGAAGUAGCAAUACUUAGUGGCAGACGGGUGAGUAACAUGUGGGUAUCUGCCCUUUGGCCUGGAAUAACACGAGGAAACUUGUGCUAAUACCGGAUAAGUCUUUACGGAGAAAGCUUUAUGCACCAUUGGAUGAGCCCGCACUUGAUUAGUUUGUUGGUAGGGUAAUGGCCUACCAAGACUGUGAUCAAUAGCUGAUUUGAGAGGAUGAUCAGCCACAUUGGGACUGAGACACGGCCCAAACUCCUACGGGAGGCAGCAGUGGGGAAUCUUGCACAAUGGAGGAAACUCUGAUGCAGCGAUGCCGCGUGAGUGAAGAAGGCCCUUGGGUUGUAAAGCUCUUUCGUCGGGGAAGAAAAUGACUGUACCCGAAUAAGAAGGUCCGGCUAACUUCGUGCCAGCCGCCGCGGUAAUUC
RNAcentral lists this ribosomal RNA (473 nucleotides) under uncultured bacterium. RNAcentral describes it as "bacterial SSU rRNA". It matches the Rfam family "Bacterial small subunit ribosomal RNA", at positions 8 to 526 of the family's 1533-position model. The record is from RNAcentral.